This 400-nucleotide ribosomal RNA is filed under the name uncultured bacterium. Its description in RNAcentral is "bacterial SSU rRNA". It matches the Rfam family "Bacterial small subunit ribosomal RNA", at positions 362 to 756 of the family's 1533-position model. The record is from RNAcentral.
UUGUUCGCAAUGGGCGCAAGCCUGACGACGCAACGCCGCGUGGAGGAUGAAGACCUUCGGGUCGUAAACUCCUUUCGAUCGAGACGAAUGGCCUUUGGGUUAAUAGCCCGGAGGAAUGACGGUACCGAGAGAAGAAGCCCCGGCUAACUCCGUGCCAGCAGCCGCGGUAAUACGGGGGGGGCAAGCGUUGUUCGGAAUUACUGGGCGUAAAGGGCUCGUAGGUGGCCAACUAAGUCAGACGUGAAAUCCCUCGGCUUAACCGGGGAACUGCCUCUGAUACUGGAUGGCUUGAGUUUGUGAGAGGGACGCGGAAUUCCAGGUGUAGCGGUGAAAUGCGUAGAUAUUUGGAGGAACACCGGUGGCGAAGGCGGCGUCCUGACCAACACGACACGAGGAGCGA